UGGGUGAAGCAAAAUUGCUGAAGAUUCAGGUCUGAGGCGAUGGAGCGAAAGAUAAACCUGAUGCUUGCACUAGCAGUAGAAAUACUGAGAGUACGAGCGGCCUACUUAGGUAGGUAAAGAAAUAGAGUUAACAGAGAUUGAACUGAAGAGUUUGAUCCUGGCUCAGAUUGAACGCUGGCGGCAUGCUUUACACAUGCAAGUCGAACGGUAACAGGCCUUCGGGUGCUGACGAGUGGCGAACGGGUGAGUAAUGCAUCGGAACGUGCCCAAUCGUGGGGGAUAACGUAGCGAAAGUUACGCUAAUACCGCAUAAGCCCUGAGGGGGAAAGCAGGGGAUCGCAAGACCUUGCGCGAAUGGAGCGGCCGAUGUCAGAUUAGCUAGUUGGUGGGGUAAAGGCCUACCAAGGCGACGAUCUGUAGCGGGUCUGAGAGGAUGAUCCGCACACUGGGACUGAGACACGGCCCAGACUCCUACGGGAGCAGCAGUGGGGAAUAUU
RNAcentral lists this ribosomal RNA (497 nucleotides) under uncultured bacterium. RNAcentral's name for it is "bacterial SSU rRNA". The stretch from base 140 to 497 matches the Rfam family "Bacterial small subunit ribosomal RNA", at positions 1 to 365 of the family's 1533-position model. The record is from RNAcentral.